This 687-nucleotide ribosomal RNA is filed under the name uncultured organism. RNAcentral describes it as "bacterial SSU rRNA". It matches the Rfam family "Bacterial small subunit ribosomal RNA", at positions 746 to 1432 of the family's 1533-position model. The record is from RNAcentral.
CUGAGGCACGAAAGCUAGGGGAGCGAAGCAGAUUAGAGACCUGCGUAGUCCUAGCCGUAAACGCAUGCUUGCUAGCUGCAUUGCCAGCCCCCUUCGGGGGGUGUAGCUGUGGCGAAGGUAACCCGUUAAGCAAGCCGCCUGGGGAUUACGGCCGCAAGGCUAAAACUCAAAGGAAUUGGCGGGGAGGCACACAACCAGUGGAACAUGUGGUUCAAUUCGAGACAAACCGAAGCACCUCACCGGGGUUUGACAUGCAAUUGCUAAUCCUAUGAAAGUAGGACUCCUUCGAGGGUAUUGCACAGGUGCUGCAUGGCUGUCGUCAGUUCGUUCCGUGAGGAGUGCCCUUAAGUGGGACAACGAACGCAACCCCCAUCGUAUGUUACAAGUGUCAUACGAAACUGCCCCCGAGUUCUCGGGGGAGGAAGGAGGGGCAGACGUCAAGUCAGCAUGGUCCUUACGCCCCGGGCUACACACAUGUUACAAUGGACAAUAACAAUGGGCAGCAAACCGGCGACGGUAAGCUAAUCUCAGAAAUUUGUCCUCAGUGGGGAUUGUAGUCUGCAAUUCGACUACAUGAACGCGGAAUUGGUAGUAAUCGCGGAUCAGCUAUGCCGCGGUGAAUACGUUCUUGCCUCUUGCACACACCGCCCGUCAAGCCAACAAAGUCGGCAUUAUCUGAACCUCGCA